Molecule: non-coding RNA, 771 nt
Filed under: Hylurgops palliatus
Lineage: Eukaryota; Metazoa; Arthropoda; Insecta; Coleoptera; Curculionidae
Source: RNAcentral
UUAAAGUUUUUUUAGCUUUAAAUUUUUAUAAAAUUUUAUUUUAGAUGUAAAUUUUAGUAUAAUUAAUUUAAAAUUUAGAUAAUUAUGGAUUAAGAUAAAAAUUACAAUAAUUAAAUUUAGUAUAUUCAAGAGAUUGAGAUUUAGUAAUUAUUUUUAGUAUAAACUAAUUUUGUGCCAGCAGUUGCGGUUAUACAAAAUAUGCAAUAAAAGUUUAUUUGGUAUUAGUUAGUUGAAUAUUUGGAAUUUAUAAAUAAAUUUAUUAAGUGAAAUUUUAAAUUUUUAUAAAUUUUUUUAAGUUGAUUAGUCUAGAAAAUUUUAUAUAAAACUAGGAUUAGAUACCCUAUUAUAAAAAAGUAUUUUUUAUACUUAAUUAGUAUUAGUUUAUUCUUGAAAAUUAAAAAUUUUGGCAGUAUUUUAGUCUAUUUAGAGGAAUCUGUCCUAUAAUUGAUAUUCCACGAUUUAAUUUACUUAUUUUUUUAGUUUGUAUAUCGCCGUAGGUUGAAUAUUUUAAAUGAAUUUAAAUAUUCAAAGUUUUUAGUAAAAAUAAAUCAGGUCAAGAUAUAGCUUAUAUUUAAGUAGAGAUGGAUUACAUUAUUAUUAUAUUUAGAAGUUUUAUUGUGAAUAAAAUUAAAAUUGGAUUUAAUAGUAAUUUUUUAUAGAUUUUAAAAAUGACCUUAGCUCUAGAAUGUGUACAUAUUGCCCGUCGCUUUCACUCUAAAGUGGAAUAAGUCGUAACAUAGUAGAAGUACUGGAAAGUGUUUCUAGAAAUUC